AGUCUGAUCGCUUGGGUUUCUUUGUUACUGGCUCUUCCAUAUCAUCUUCAUCUCCAUCAUCUGCAAUCAUUUUGUAUUUUGUAUGGAGGUUAGAUUUGCAGUUGGCACUACUAUGCCAAAUAACCAUUUUAUCCAAAUAAAUAUUUCUACAUCGCAUACUUAAUUAAACAAGUCAAAAUGGAAUUUCAAGGCCCAUAAUUCAGAAAAUGUAAAGUUUCUUUACAUUAUCUAGUGAACACCGAAAAAUGAGAAGUAUCUUCGCAAAUUAGAGCACUCUAUAACAUGCAAAAUUAAAAUCAGUAGAAACAAGGGAAAUGUUUACCAUCUUCAUCACCAAAGCCUUCAAAAUCUUCCAUAUCAUCCAUGUCACCCAUCUCGAAGAUGAGCAAUCAGGCAAUAUCACUGCUCACAACACAAUUUUGCACCAGAAUUAUCCCAUGCUGAAGGGAGCAGAUAAAUACUCUCGUGGACUGAAGAAAAAGUACAACUCAUAUCUAAAUGUCAA
RNAcentral lists this long non-coding RNA (505 nucleotides) under Hordeum vulgare. RNAcentral describes it as "long non-coding RNA (HVUL_LNC021340)". Lineage: Eukaryota; Viridiplantae; Streptophyta; Magnoliopsida; Poales; Poaceae. The record is from RNAcentral.